UUACCACUCUGGCCUUUUGGCUUAGAUCAAGUGUAGUAUCUGUUCUUAAUAGUUUAACCACUAUUACGAGGGCACCGCCCUCCGUAUUUGGUUAUCUAAUUUUUGCCGCCCUUGCUCCUUUGUGCUCUGCUUGCAACACGAGGGACGUGAUGACCUUGCUAUUGCAGUACAGGCUUGUGUCGUCGGGGGAUU
The sequence is a small nuclear RNA, 192 nucleotides long. It matches the Rfam family "U2 spliceosomal RNA". Rfam says of the family: U2 is a small nuclear RNA (snRNA) component of the spliceosome (involved in pre-mRNA splicing). Complementary binding between U2 snRNA (in an area lying towards the 5' end but 3' to hairpin I) and the branchpoint sequence (BPS) of the intron results the bulging out of an unpaired adenosine, on the BPS, which initiates a nucleophilic attack at the intronic 5' splice site, thus starting the first of two transesterification reactions that mediate splicing. The record is from Rfam.